GGCGAUGGAGCCCUCGUGCACGCCUUGGACGCACUCUUAGCCCGGCCCCACCAAACGCGCCCGCUCUGCGAGCAGGUUCCUCACCUUGAAGGGAGCCGAGUAAGGGGCGACCGCAAUGAGAAGCCCACGCACCACAAAAACUACAUUUGGGGCUUCCCUGGUGGCGCAGUGGAUAAGAAUUGCCUGCCAAUGCAGGGGACACAGGUUCCAUCCCUGGUCCGGGAAGAUCCCACAUGCGCGGAGCAACUAAGCCCAUGCGCCACAGCUACUGAGCCUGCGCUCUAGAGCCCGUGAGCCACAACUACUGAAGCCCGUGCACCUAGAGCCCGUGCUCCGCAACAAGAGAAGCCACCGCAAUAAGGAGCCCACGCACCGCAAUGAAGAGUAGCCCCCGCUCGCUGCAAAUAGAGAAAGCCCUCAGGCAGCAACAAAGACCCAACACAGCCAAUAAAUAAAUAAAUAAACAUUUUUAAAAACCUA
This is a long non-coding RNA of Eubalaena glacialis (North Atlantic right whale), 480 nucleotides long. RefSeq lists it as uncharacterized. NCBI's taxonomy places the organism in Eukaryota, Metazoa, Chordata, Mammalia, Artiodactyla, Balaenidae. The transcript is spliced from 2 exons. The record is from RefSeq and is a predicted model, not a curated record.